Molecule: long non-coding RNA, 643 nt
Filed under: Rattus norvegicus (Norway rat)
Lineage: Eukaryota; Metazoa; Chordata; Mammalia; Rodentia; Muridae
Description: long non-coding RNA NONRATT014651
Source: RNAcentral
UUCACAACAGUUUAACAAAACUCUUUAAUAAAAUUCAUAAAAAUGCAUCUUAGAGAACAGUUCCGAUUGCUUGCCUUUUCCACUCCCCACAAAAUACAAAAUUAUCAGCACCCACACACAUAUACACUCAAACUACAUACAAAGGGCACGCUAUCAACAUUAGACAAUUAAACUACAGAGAAACCAACAGUUCUCACAGUUGAUUGCAGUCAUCAUUUGCUUCCAAAAUUAUGUGAGUACAGCAAUUUCAAUGAAAAGUCUCAAGGGCCUUGCCUCCCUUUUCCCAUCAGAGUGGUGUUUUCUUCCUGCUUUCUGAGAAAAUGCACAAUCUCUAAUAUUCUCAGUUUUCUUUUUUGGUUUUCCAAGACAGAGUUUCUGUGUAGCCCUGGCUGUCCUGGAAUUCACUUACUAUACCAGGCUGACCUUGAACUCAGAGAGAUCUGAGACUGUCUCUGCCUCCCGAGUGCCGGGAUUAAAGGCGUGCACCAACACACCCAGCAUAGUCUCAGUUUUCUAUUUGUACUUAAGAUUGGGCAACUCAGGAUCUUGGCUGAGGAUGGUGUAGGCGAUGGCAGCAUUGUAGGUGUUUAUGUCAUCGUCUGCAUCAGUGGCUGAGACCUGCAUCACGGAGGUUCCUGUCAAA